This is a long non-coding RNA of Gadus macrocephalus (Pacific cod), 1789 nucleotides long. RefSeq lists it as uncharacterized. Lineage: Eukaryota; Metazoa; Chordata; Actinopteri; Gadiformes; Gadidae. The record is from RefSeq and is a predicted model, not a curated record. The transcript has 2 exons.
ACUUUAUUUGUCUGUGGCAUAUGCAGUCAUAAUCCUAAAACUGGUAGUGUCUGAUUUUAACCAGGUUAUGGAUUAGUUACCUUAACUCUAACUUUGAGCCUACAGAAUAUACAUUCUGAAACCACAGACGAGAAACCAUAGGACAGCGUUUCCUCCCACCGUGACGUGAGCCAGCCAUCUUUGAGGGGCCACUUAUACGUAAAUGAGGGGGGUGGAGGUAUAUCUUUUGGAACACAUGAAUGAGGAACACAUGUAGAUUUCCCUCAGAAUGCAAGCACUUAUUGACCAAGGAAAGCCAGGACCUGAUCGACCUGGCUAGUACGACGGAGGAGGACCGGCUGUGGCGACCCGUUCUGCCUACUGUUGAGGGUUUGACACUGUAACAGUGGAGCCUUCCCUUGUGGAAGGUUAGACGCAGAGGUGAAGAAGAACGCCCCCAAGAGGCAUAGAGGCCCGGGCGUCAAACACAGACCCAGCAUCUUCUCCGAUGGAGCAGCAGUAAUGAUGGCAUUACAAAGGAUUGGAACGCCUUAAAAGAAAGAAUUGGAUCAUGGACACAAAGAGAGAAGACAAGUGCCUGUCGGAUGAGACAAGACAGAAACAAUCGGCUGAUGUUUCUGAACAAAGACUUUUUUUUCUAAUUUUUGUGUUUUAUAAAAGUGCAUUGAAUGGAGGAUAGGGUAAUCGAGGGGUCAUCUAGAUCGUAAAAUGAUAAUUCAGAUGGGCUAAGGGAUGUGUGUGACUUAAUAAGUCCGAAGGGGGGAUAUGUAGUAGAAAAUAAUGAAGGUGUAAAAGGAUAUUGGACAAAUCUUGAUACAUAAUUAGUGGGACAGGCUCCAGACCGGCUACAGACCUUGUUCCAUUGUUAUUCAACAGCUCAGAGGAUCAGACAGACAUCCCUCUGUAGCCAAUGUCAUCAGUCUAUCUCUCAGUUCACUUAGAUACAAGUAAAAGUAAGGUUAACGUAAAGCAUGAAUUAUACAAGAAUAUAAGGUAAAUAUAUUUACAAUGGAGCCAAAUGUUAAACACUUGAUAUUACCUGGCUUUCCUUGGUCAACAAGUAUUUGCAUCCUGAGGUACAUUUACAUGUGUUCCGCAUUCACGUGUUGCAAAAGAUAUACCUCCAGCCCCUUCAUUUUGAGCGGCCCCUCAAAGACGGCUGGCCCACGUCACGGUGAGAGGAAACGCCCUCCUAUGGUUUCUCGUCUGUGGUUUUAGAAUGUUUAUUCUGUAGGCUGGAGUUAGGUUAACUAAUCCGUACCACGGUUAAAAUACAGACACUACCAGCUUUAGGAUUAUGACUGUAUAUGCCACAGACAAAUAAAGUGGCAUUGUUAACUAUUACAAAUGCAUAUUUUACUGUUUAAAUGAAUAUUGCUUUCACAGGGCUCCUCUCUCAAUCCCAUGUGGCAACUGGCAAGUCAUGGUGAUUUAAGAUCAGGUUAAUAACACAGGCGAUGAAUGGAUUUUAAUAAAAGACCUCACUUCAUAUAACUAAUGUAUAACAUGUAACUUCAAGUAACUAAUGUUUAAUAAUUAUGUUAUCCUUCUGUACGUAAUGCUUGAAUGGAAUGUAUUUUAGACAUUGUGGGCGGGACAUGAAUGCUAAUGGGGAACGGGGUGGGCCCGUAGUUUAUAGCAUUGUGAUUGGCCAAGAACAUCUUGGGGGCGGCCACACAAUUAGGAUAUAAAUCGGAGCUCAGAGUCUGUCUCCGAGUUCUUUGCAAACCAUUUCAGGUGAUGUAGUUCCUCUGUGCGGUGGCAAUAAAGCCUUGAUCGUUUAAUCCUA